CAGCAGGGCAAGGAGUAUGAGCUGGUGCUGACGGACCGCGCCAGCCUCACCAGGUGCCGCCUGGGUGAUGUGGUGCGAGUGGUUGGUGCCUACAAUCAGUGUCCAGUCGUCAGGUUCAUCUGCAGGUAGGUGACCCCGGGGAGCUGAAGGGCCAUCCUUGUGUCCUGGGCUCCACUGCCUCUCCCUUCCUCCUCUUCAGGCUGGACCAGACCCUGAGUGUGCGAGGGGAAGAUAUUGGUGAAGACCUGUUCUCUGAGGCCCUGGGCCGGGCAGUGGGGCAGUGGGCGGGGGCCAAGCUGCUGGACCAUGGCUGUGUGGAGAGCAGCAUUCUGGGUGAGCUUCCCCACCGGCUCCUGCCUACCAUCCUUGAGCUACCCUUCAACCCCUACCUCCCCUGCCAGGGGACUGCUAGGAAAGAGAUAAGACUCAGCCUCCUUUACCACUCCUACAAAAGUCCUUCUCUGCAUCUAACUCUCAUCCAUCCUGCUGCAGUCUCUACCCAUUUUCUUCCUGAUCUGUCUCCUAUUUAGGAUCAAGCUCUAGGUUCCUCUCCAUUUACCCCACUCCCCACCAAGAAACUCUUUUUUCCCUAUGAAUCUCAGAGUGGGGAAGAACAGAUAGGGCAGAGGACACUAGACUUGGCAGCUGCCCAUUCACCAGAAGUAUGUGUGCACAUGGGGUCUAUUCACAGAUUCCUCUGCGGGCUCUGCUCCCCACUACGAGGUGUUUGUGGCGCUGAGGGGGCUGAGGAAUCUGUCAGAGGAAAAUCGAGACAAGGUAAAGGAGACGAGGACAGGGUCUGACUGUAGACCCCUUCACUCUGCACACUCCCAGGGUGCCAUGGAGAUCAGGGCUGACGGGAAGGAGAGGGGUGGCGGAGGAGAAGCUCCCUGGGGCUCUGGGAGGGGAGGGCUAAGUCCCACAGACACACACCUGUCCACACAAAACUUCUAAACACAUGUAGCCUGGGCACAGCCACACAUGCCUCGUGUGCACACUCACAGUCACACACCAGCUCA
RNAcentral lists this small RNA (1019 nucleotides) under Pan troglodytes (chimpanzee). Its description in RNAcentral is "retained intron". The record is from RNAcentral. Lineage: Eukaryota; Metazoa; Chordata; Mammalia; Primates; Hominidae.